RNAcentral lists this non-coding RNA (93 nucleotides) under unclassified sequences. RNAcentral describes it as "RT-9 RNA". It matches the Rfam family "RT-9 RNA". Rfam says of the family: Firmicutes. The record is from Rfam by way of RNAcentral.
GAUCAUUAAGACUAAGGUUUUAAUGACACGACUUGACAGAAUUCAAGAGAGUUUAGUUCUUUCAGUUUUAAAACUGUAAACACAUAAACAAUG